GACGUAGGGCGCGAGCGUUGUCCGGAUUUAUUGGGCGUAAAGAGCUCGUAGGCGGCUUGUUGCGUCGACCGUGAAAACCCGGGGCUCAACUUCGGGCUUGCGGUCGAUACGGGCGGGCUAGAGUUCGGUAGGGGAGACUGGAAUUCCUGGUGUAGCGGUGAAAUGCGCAGAUAUCAGGAGGAACACCGGUGGCGAAGGCGGGUCUCUGGGCCGAUACUGACGCUGAGGCGCGACAGCGUGGGGAGCAAACAGG
RNAcentral lists this ribosomal RNA (253 nucleotides) under uncultured bacterium. RNAcentral describes it as "partial 16S ribosomal RNA". It matches the Rfam family "Bacterial small subunit ribosomal RNA", at positions 524 to 776 of the family's 1533-position model. The record is from RNAcentral.